CCAUAAGCAACUCCUAAAUGUUUUCAGAUAUUGAACUCCUUGCUUUUUAAUUAUAUAGUUGUUUGUUGAUCACCCAAAAAUACUGUUCUAUGAUUUCGCCAUAUGGCAAGAUAUAAACGCUAAUCAUACUUGUUCCAAAUACUUAUCCAAGUGGACGAAUGAGAUACGAACAAAAUAUAUCGCGUUAUAAUUUUAUACAGAAAAUGAAUUGCCCAUCAAAAAGAAAGAGUUGGUGAGUCUCUCGAGUGGACUAAGGUUCCUUCCUACAACUGAGAUUGCUUCCCUUGAGUCGUAAGCGAAGUAUGUUCUCACUGGGGUGAAAAUACAACUGAGAUUUAUAUCGGGUAGCAUAGGAUCCAAUGAAGUGAUUCUAAGUGAUACUAGAUUACUCAGUUGUAAGUGUGGUUGAAUCACUAGAGUGGUGAAAAUCAUGUAUUCGCUUUGGUUGGUUAAUGAAAAGUUAAAGUUGAGUUAAAAAAAAAAAAAAAAAAGGUUCCUUCCUACAACGUAAACGAAGCUCAAGAAGACACGAAGUUGAUGUGAUGGAUCAUUAAGCCGCCCUUGCCCCUGGCUGCUUACACAUGGUAUUAGUGAUGGGCCUAACUCACACCCAAAAGCUAGCUCAAGAGUGGAGGUUUACCCAUACACUUAUAUAUUGCCCAAGGACCAUCAUCCCACACGAUGUGGGACUCUAAUAGCCCCUCUCGAAAUGUGGAUGGGAAACGGUCCAAUCGGAAACAGCCCAAGUCCAACAUCUCGGACAUACCACAGCAAGAUGGGCCAUUUGUACAGGCUACAUAAAUAGGAAACUGUUUAUAUGGGAAAUCAUCUGCUGGGCUUUUACCAUGGACUCUGAUACCAUUUUAGUGAUGGGCCUAACUCACACCCAAAAGCUAGCUCAAGAGUGGAGGUUUACCCAUACACUUAUAUAUUGCCCAAGGACCAUCAUCCCACACGAUGUGGG
This 964-nucleotide long non-coding RNA is filed under the name Brassica rapa (field mustard). RNAcentral describes it as "long non-coding RNA (BRAP_LNC005346)". The record is from RNAcentral. Lineage: Eukaryota; Viridiplantae; Streptophyta; Magnoliopsida; Brassicales; Brassicaceae.